GCCUAUUUCAGCUGCGACCUCGACGCCGGCGGGACGGUGCCAUGGACGCAACUCCGGCUGGAUGGUGCCGCGAACGCAACCCCGGCGUCGCCUACCUCGCUACUUCAUGGUUGAAAGUUAUCUUGUUGUCUGCCUACGGUGGAGAGCCAUUUGCUAUGCUGAUAAUUCCUAGUUGUAUUUUCAUUUAAGGGAUGUGGUGGAUUGUUUCCACAUGUAUAUGAGCUGGUUGUUGUCUUGGAAAUGAUUUAUAUUAUCCGAUGAUGAUCUUAUCAUGUACCUACAUGGUCCUUGA
Molecule: long non-coding RNA, 292 nt
Organism: Lolium rigidum
Lineage: Eukaryota; Viridiplantae; Streptophyta; Magnoliopsida; Poales; Poaceae
Exons: 2
Source: RefSeq, a predicted model, not a curated record